UUUUUCAGAAACAGUCUUCUUCUUCCUCGCAAGUUCUCAACUACUCCUCCUCUCACUCCCUCCGCCGUUCUCAACCACUCCCCGUCCCUCCGUCUUCGUCUCACUGUCACGCCACCGUCGCCGCCGCCGCUGCCGCCGCCGUUCUGUGGGAUUUUAGGGUUUUCUUGGUCAAAAUCAACACUUCUGUUCAGCUACGACUUGGAGUUCACUGUUGCACACAAUCUUGUAGCUGUCAGUACUGGAAGCUUGUUAUACCAGGAAUAUCUUUGCUACAUAGGGGUUACUUGUGAAGAGUGAAAGUUUGAUCUCAUUCAAGAAUCUUACAUUGUGUGGGUCUACAAGUUGCUUACUACUAUACAGGUAAUAU
Long non-coding RNA from Vicia villosa (hairy vetch), 367 nucleotides. RefSeq lists it as uncharacterized. NCBI's taxonomy places the organism in Eukaryota, Viridiplantae, Streptophyta, Magnoliopsida, Fabales, Fabaceae. The transcript is spliced from 3 exons. The record is from RefSeq and is a predicted model, not a curated record.